GCUCGAGCUCGCCCAUGCCAUGCGUUACCUCUACUUCCGCCCCAACACGACAAGCCAGGCGCGCGCCUGCCGCGACCAUCUCCUCGCCCACCUGGACCAAUGCGCCUCGCGGGCCCACCUGGCGGUGCUCCACGGCCGGCUCAUCCGCGCUCACCUCGGCCCCGACCCCUCCGUAGCCGGUCGGCUCGUCGCCCUCCUCGCCUCACCUGUGGCGAGGCACGACAUGCCCUGCGCGCGCAGGGUGUUUGACAGAAUGGCCCAACCAACCGCCUUCGUCUGGAACUGCAUGAUUCGAGGGUACAACAGUUGCGACGCCCCCGCGGAUGCAUUGGCGUUGUUCAGGGCGAUGCUUCGGGCGGGAAUCUCUCCUGAUAAUUACACCAUGGCUGCGGUUGUGUCCUCGAGCGUUGCUUUCGCUGGCUGCAAGUUGAGGUCAACGGGCGACGCGGUGCAUUCCUUGGUUCGCAAGACUGGGUUUGCAUCGGAUGUGUUCGUCAUGUCAGGCCUUGUUAAUUUCUAUAGCUCCUUCAGAAGUGUCGAUGAUGCAAGGAAGGUUUUUGAAGAGAUGGCCGAUCGGGAUGUGGUGACGUGGACACUGAUGAUCUCGGCUUUUGCACGGUGCUGUCAGUGGGAUGAUGCGUUAAGGUUGCUUGCUGAGAUGCAAUCACAAGGCACUAAGCCCAACAAGGUCACCGUUAUAAGUCUCCUUUCUGCAUGCGGCCAAGUGCAGGAUGUUGACAGAGGCCGGUGGGUGUAUGCACGCAUUCAUGAGUACGGCAUUGAGGCUGGUUUGGAUGUCCGGAAUGCACUUUUAAGCAUGUACGUAAAAUGCGGAUGCAUGUCCGAUGCGUUGAAAGCAUUUCAGAUCAUGCCAAUAAGAAAUACUAAAUCAUGGAACACCUUGAUUGAUGGGUUUGUGCAAAAUGGGAAGGAUAUGGAAGCACUAAGAAUGUUUGAAGAGAUGUUAUCAGAUGGUAUAGUUCCUGAUGCGAUUACUCUCGUAAGUCUCUUAUCGUCGUGUGCUCAGCUAGGUGAUCUUCAGAAAGGGACAUACUUCCACAAUUAUAUCAAAGAUCAUGGGAUCCGCUGUGACAUCAUCCUUCAUAAUUCUUUGAUUAACAUGUACGCUAAAUGUGGCGAUAUGGCUGCAGCAGAAAUGGUUUUUGAAAAUAUGACACAAAGGGAUACCGUGUCCUGGACAGCUAUGCUUUGUGGUUAUGUGAAAGGACUUCAGUUUAGAACGGCCUUCAGUUUGUUUGAAGAGAUGAAGGUCGUAGAUGUUGUGUCAAGUGAAAUGGCACUGGUUAGUCUACUUUCUGCUUGUUCCCAGCUAGGAGCACUUGAUAAAGGGAGAGAAAUACACACUUAUAUAGAAGAGAAGAGUGUAACAACAGACGUAUGGCUUGAAAGUGCCCUGGUGGAUAUGUAUGCAAAAUGUGGUUGCACUGAUACAGCUGCCCAAAUAUUCAGUACAAUGCAGCACAAGCCAACCCUCACAUGGAAUGCUAUGAUUGGAGGUCUUGCCAGCAACGGACAGGGAAAAGAAGCAGUGGGGCACUUUGAACAAAUGCUGAAGUUAAGAGACCCAAACCCUGAUGCUAUCACUCUAAAGGUAGUUCUUGGUGCCUGUGCACAUGUGGGAAUGGUUGAUGAGGGGCUGCAUUACUUCUAUUUGAUGUUGAGCCUUGGUAUUGUCCCUGAUAUUGAGCACUAUGGUUGCGUAGUAGACCUCCUGAGUAGAGCUGGGCUGCUAGACGAAGCAUAUAGUUUUAUCAAAAAGAUGCCAAUACAGCCCAAUCCAGUAAUUUGGGGCUCACUUCUUGCAGCCUGUAGAAUUCAUCACAGGAUGGAACUAGCAAAGAUAAUUGGACAGCACAUCAUCGAAUUAGCUCCUAAUGACGUGGGAGCACAUGUCCUAAUUUCGAACUUACAUGCUGAAGAAGGCCAGUGGGAUGAUGUAGAGCAAGUAAGAGGGCUGAUGGGAAGCAGAGGUGUAGAGAAAUCUUCUGGUUGUAGCUCCAUCGAAGUCUAGACGUGCUCCGUAAAUCAUUGUUCGUACUUCACAAUUCACUGCAGUUUUCAAGGAUACACCCUCUAAAAGGUGUAUGAAGAUCAUAGAAGAAGAGGCCAAAGUCACUGCAGUUGUUCCAACUAAGACGAGGCUCACCAUGUAGAAGUAAAGUUCUAAUGCUGGUUGUCCAACUAGAGACGUUUUUCAUACUUCGUAAUGCAAGUUACAAGUUAUUAUUACAUGAUUUCACUAGCCAGCGCCGAAUGUGUAGAUCAGUAUGAAGUGCAAAACAAAAACAAAAAAUCAUUGUUCACAUACUGGCGGUCAAGGCAUCUGUGAAGUCGGACAAACUUGGUAUGCUGUAAUUUUUCAUACUUCAUAAUGCAAGUUACAAGUUAUUAUUACUCCCUCCAAUCCAAUAUUAAUUGUCGCUCAAACGGAUGUAUCUAGCACUAAAUAUGUCUAGAUACAUCCAUUUUAUUGACGAUUACUAUGGAUCGGAGAGACUACAUAAUUUCACUAGUAAGUAAUACAAAGUUUGACAGGAACACUGCCACUAUAUGUAUAUACGGAGUAGUAUAUACUCCACUGCCACUAUUUGAUUGUUCAGGCGAGCGCUGAAUCUGUAGAUCAGCAUGAAGUGCAAAACAAAACAAAACAAAAAAUCAUUGUUCACAUACUCGCAUUAAAAGGCAUAUGUGAAGUCAAGUAAACUUGUUAUGCUGUAAAUUUUCAGCUGUUACAGAACCUAGAGAAAUAGUAGUAGUUGAGAAAAAUAUUUCAACACAUCUGAAAGGUACUCAUUUGCUAUGUUUUAUGAGGCCGAGGCCGAGGCCGAGGGCUCGCCAGCUAUUAUACAUUUGUUGCUUUGAUUGUCUA
This is an RNA transcript of Hordeum vulgare subsp. vulgare (domesticated barley), 2890 nucleotides long. It is a transcript of the gene named pentatricopeptide repeat-containing protein At3g22690-like, with no coding region annotated. The transcript is spliced from 3 exons. The record is from RefSeq and is a predicted model, not a curated record. Lineage: Eukaryota; Viridiplantae; Streptophyta; Magnoliopsida; Poales; Poaceae.